GAGUUUGAUCCUGGCUCAGGAUGAACGCUGGCGGCGUGCUUAACACAUGCAAGUCGAACGGGGCCACCAUUUUUGAAGCGAUUAGCUUGCUAAGAGUGGAAAUGUUGGCGGCUUAGUGGCGGACGGGUGAGUAACGCGUGGGUAACCUGCCAUAUACAGGGGGAUAACACUUAGAAAUAGGUGCUAAUACCGCAUAAGCGCACGGAGCUGCAUGGCUCAGUGUGAAAAACUCCGGUGGUAUAUGAUGGACCCGCGUCUGAUUAGCUUGUUGGCGGGGUAACGGCCCACCAAGGCGACGAUCAGUAGCCGGCCUGAGAGGGUGGACGGCCACAUUGGGACUGAGACACGGCCCAAACUCCUACGGGAGGCAGCAGUGGGGAGUAUUGGACAAUGGGGGGAACCCUGAUCCAGCGACGCCGCGUGAGUGAAGAAGUAUCUCGGUAUGUAAAGCUCUAUCAGCAGGGAAGAAAGAAAUGACGGUACCUGACCAAGAAGCCCCGGCUAACUACGUGCCAGCAGCCGCGGUAAUACGUAGGGGGCAAGCGUUAUCCGGAUUUACUGGGUGUAAAGGGAGCGUAGACGGUAAUGCAAGUCUGGAGUGAAAUGCAGGGGCUCAACCCCUGAACUGCUUUGGAAACUGUAUGACUGGAGUGCAGGAGAGGUAAGUGGAAUUCCUAGUGUAGCGGUGAAAUGCGUAGAUAUUAGGAGGAACACCAGUGGCGAAGGCGGCUUACUGGACUGUAACUGA
RNAcentral lists this ribosomal RNA (748 nucleotides) under uncultured bacterium. RNAcentral's name for it is "bacterial SSU rRNA". It matches the Rfam family "Bacterial small subunit ribosomal RNA", at positions 9 to 743 of the family's 1533-position model. The record is from RNAcentral.